GAUGAACGCUGGCGGCGUGCCUAAUACAUGCAAGUCGAGCGAACAGACGAGGAGCUUGCUCCUCUGACGUUAGCGGCGGACGGGUGAGUAACACGUGGAUAACCUACCUAUAAGACUGGGAUAACUUCGGGAAACCGGAGCUAAUACCGGAUAAUAUAUUGAACCGCAUGGUUCAAUAGUGAAAGACGGUUUUGCUGUCACUUAUAGUUGGAUCCGCGCCGCAUUAGCUAGUUGGUAAGGUAACGGCUUACCAAGGCAACGAUGCGUAGCCGACCUGAGAGGGUGAUCGGCCACACUGGAACUGAGACGCGGUCCAGACUCCUACGGGAGGCAGCAGUAGGGAAUCUUCCGCAAUGGGCGAAAGCCUGACGGAGCAACGCCGCGUGAGUGAUGAAGGUCUUCGGAUCGUAAAACUCUGUUAUUAGGGAAGAACAAAUGUGUAAGUAACUAUGCACGUCUUGACGGUACCUAAUCAGAAAGCCACGGCUAACUACGUG
Molecule: ribosomal RNA, 497 nt
Filed under: uncultured bacterium
Lineage: Bacteria
Description: partial 16S ribosomal RNA
Rfam family: Bacterial small subunit ribosomal RNA
Source: RNAcentral